Long non-coding RNA from Nycticebus coucang (slow loris), 2554 nucleotides. RefSeq lists it as uncharacterized. NCBI's taxonomy places the organism in Eukaryota, Metazoa, Chordata, Mammalia, Primates, Lorisidae. The record is from RefSeq and is a predicted model, not a curated record. The transcript is spliced from 4 exons.
UAGCAAGAAAGGUGCAGAGGUCAGAAGUCAGGGAGGGGCUUGGAUGGCAAAACUCCCUUGUCCUACAGCCCACCUUUUCCCACCAUCUGUGCACCAGCUCCCUGUGGGCCUGAUACCACUGCAAAGGGCGUCACUCGGCCACGAGCUCCUGGGAUCCAGCCUGCAGCUCUUAGAAAAAGUCAACCCGUGGAUGAAGCAGAAAGAUGGACAUACCAGCCAGCAUCUCUUGAGUACUCACUCUUUGCCAAGCACUGUGCUGAAUGAUGAACAUAACUGAAUUAAUUUUCAGAACAACCCUGCAAGCGCUGAUGCCUGUGAAUUGCAGUAGGACUCUCAGCCUUGAACUCAAGGAUGGAUCCAGUCUACUCAAGACCUGGGCAAGUUGAAAACAAAGAGAACCAAUGGCAACUAUGGCAGUAGGGAGACAAAGCCUGGCAGCAUUCACAAUUCAGCUUCCUGUACACCAUUGCUUUGGAGGAAUUAAUUUUCUGUGUGCUGUCCCCGAGAAUGGGUGGAAAGUAAAGUAGCAUUCUUCUGAAUGGCAUGGGUACCUUGAGUGGGGGUGUCUGGGAGUAAAAAGCUAUCUCUUUUGUUCCCUGUGUCAAGGUAUAUAUGAGGCAAAAAAGAAAGGGGUCAGGGCAGGGAAUCUUAUUAGAUGUAGUAGACCUGUGCUAAGCAAUUUAGAUACUUAUUUAACAUUAUUAUAAUCCUUCUGAAGUAAAUAUUGUCCCUGUUUUUAAAGUAAGCACCCUCAGUAAGGAAGAAUGCUCUUAUCGGUCAUAUUUUAGGAUGAAAGUAGCACUUUAGACUGCAGAAUGAGAUGUGGUUAUUUAGAUCAUUGACCUAUUGAAUCAACCAACACUGAGCUUCAUCCUGCCUUUGCACUCCCAGUUAAAUGAGCCAAUAAAAAGUGCCAUUUUUGAAAAAGGCAAAGAUAAAUUAAUUAAUUAAUUAAUUAAUAAGGUGAGAAUCCUAAAUUCUGAGUUUCCAAGAGGUUAUAGUAACUUAGCCAAGGUCACAUACUUAGUAGAGUUAGAACUUGAACUCCAACCAUUGUUGCUUCACAAUGACUUAAAAGUACAAAAGAAGAAUAUCAAUAAAUGAUGGUUUGAAAGAAAAAUUAUUUUCAGUCUAAAGUCAAAAGAGCAGGGACUAAUGCAUCUCUUAUGUCAACUGGUGCAAAUUACUAUACUAAGCGGAAGAGGGAGGUCACCCCAUGUGCCACUGUUGGAAAAGGGUGAGACAACCUUCAGGUACAAUGACACGUGAUUCCUCGGGCUAAAGGUGAAUGGGUAUUGAGACCCUCCAAAGCUGGACUGAGAGCCUGAUUGUAAUAAAAGACUGGGCUUCCUGGUGUUUAAAUCUGCUCCAAAUAUACCUAGAGAAGCAUCUCAGCAUAAGACAGAGCUCAUUUUUCCCCACCAGGUGCAGCAGUGGGCUCUUCGGUGUGUGAAGUGAACUGAUUCUCUGUGGCCCAGGGAGCUUUUUAGGUGGGGAGGGCAUGGAAUCAGUUGUGAGUGGGCUCUCAUCCAGAAAUGGGGCCCCACAGGGCCUAUCAGUAGGGGAUUGGUCCAGCCUCUUUCAACCAACCUGAGGAUGUAGGAAGAUAUCCCUCUUCCCUGAGUUGACUCAUAGCUGCCAUAAAGCCUGAGAAGGAAAUCACCGUAGUCUUUAGUCUCUUAGCCUGAACUGACUAGUGUUAGGUUAGAGUUCAGGAAGAACUUCCUGAGUAUGAGCUCUUUGACACUGGACCAUGAACAGCCAAUACUGGCUCUGGAAUAUCCUUUCCUAAAGACUUUAAAGAGCAGCAGAGACACCUAAUUGCUGCCCACAGUACCUGGUAGAAGUGAGGCUCUGCUCCAGCCUCACCUUUGCUUGUUGGUAUUUCAGUAAAAGACCAAUACAAAUAUAGAAUGUAUAAUUUUUACAUCAUUCUUGGCAAAUCCCAGGUGCGUCCCAUUAGCAGAGUUCCAAGGAUGCCAUUUUCUAUCAAGAAAAAGACACGCUGCAUCGUAGUGCUUAGCUCAGGGCCCUAUUAAUAGCAAUCCUAAUUAUAUGGCUGCAAAUUUAAUUCAUAGCAAUGAUUAGUGUCAGAAUCAAAGGCAUCAGGCAUCAAUAUUGAUGGAAUUGCAUAAGCCCCAUAAACAGAGAACAAGCAUUCAGGCCCAUCCCCCCAGUCGUGGUCUGCUGUUAACUAUUGCAUUAAUGUCUCUUCCAAUUUUGCCAGAUCAAAAUGACUCCAUUUCUCAGUGCUCUCCUUGUCCUCGCCGAAACCUUUGCCCAGCCAGCUCUGAAUGGGUAUGACUGGCACACAAAAGAUCCCAGACAAUGUCUCUGAAGAAGAGCCUGGGGGCUCCCAGGGAUGCAUGAGUGAUGGGCCCAGGCCCCACGCUUUACCCGGCAGCUUUUGGCCUUGUCAGCAACACUCCUUUGUCUCCCCUUCAGAAAGCUCAUGGUAAACAAUGAUGCCUGGAGAAAGGGGAGUCAGCUGGGGACUGUGUGUGGCACAAAAGGCUGCCACCCCAUCCAUUGUGACCUGGGCCAAGAGGGGUGA